UUUUUAACAUAUAGUUGCAAAUAAUUAUGUUAUUACAAUUCAAAUUUGGCUUGCUGAUUUAUUACUAUAAAUAAGAGUACUCAAAGAAACACAUAAUUGCAAACAAAAAUAUAGAAUCAUCUCCAACAUGAAGAAGGCCUUUCUCCUGAUUUGCAUUCUUUUGGUUACCAUUUCCUUUUCCCCUUCUCUCACUUCAGCUAGGGAAUUAGCUGCUAUUGGGAAAGAUGCAAGAAUACCAAUUCCAAAAGGGUGGCCGCGGCCAGGUAAGCCAACACCCCUACCAUUUCGAUGCAGCCCUGGGAAGAAAAAUUGUCUGCCUAAAUUCCCUCCCAAAAGAAGAAUGCAUGCCCCACCUCCCCCACGUUGAGGCCCUUACAUAAAGAAGGGUUGUGAUUCUCAUA
Jatropha curcas is the source of this 401-nucleotide long non-coding RNA. RefSeq lists it as uncharacterized. NCBI's taxonomy places the organism in Eukaryota, Viridiplantae, Streptophyta, Magnoliopsida, Malpighiales, Euphorbiaceae. The record is from RefSeq and is a predicted model, not a curated record.